AGCAGCCGCGGUAAUUCCAGCUCCAAUAGCGUAUAUUAAAGUUGUUGCAGUUAAAAAGCUCGUAGUUGAACUUCGGGGUCUACCCAUUGGUCAGGCUUAAUUGUCUGCACUGGUGAGAUGGAUCUCUACCUUCUGAGGAACUUUCAUGCCAUUUAUUUGGUGUGAUUGGAAAUCAGGACUGUUACUUUGAAAAAAUUAGAGUGUUUAAAGCAGACUAUCGUCUGAAUACAUUAGCAUGGAAUAAUGAAAUAGGACGGACUGAUUCUAUUUCGUUGGUUUCUAGGAUCACCGUAAUGAUUAAUAGGGAUAGUUGGGGGCAUUAGUAUUCAAUUGUCAGAGGUGAAAUUCUUGGAUUUAUUGAAGACUAACUACUGCGAAAGCAUUUGCCAAGGAUGUUUUCAUUAAUCAAGAACGAAAGUUAGGGGAUCGAAGACGAUCAGAUACCGUCGUAGUCUUAACCAUAAACUAUGCCGACUAGGGAUCGGACGAAGUUAAUUUUAUAAUGACGCGUUCGGCACCU
This 520-nucleotide ribosomal RNA is filed under the name uncultured Diversispora. RNAcentral describes it as "SSU rRNA". It matches the Rfam family "Eukaryotic small subunit ribosomal RNA", at positions 569 to 1088 of the family's 1831-position model. Lineage: Eukaryota; Fungi; Glomeromycota; Glomeromycetes; Diversisporales; Diversisporaceae. The record is from RNAcentral.